RNAcentral lists this ribosomal RNA (272 nucleotides) under uncultured bacterium. RNAcentral describes it as "partial 16S ribosomal RNA". It matches the Rfam family "Bacterial small subunit ribosomal RNA", at positions 338 to 624 of the family's 1533-position model. The record is from RNAcentral.
CCUACGGGACGCAGCAGUGGGGAAUAUUGGGCAAUGGGGGGAAGCCUGAUCCAGCGACGCCGCGUGAGGGAAGAAGGAUUUCGGUAUGUAAAGCUCUUUUAUCAGGGACGAAAGAAAUGACGGUACCUGACGAAUAAGCCCCGGCUAACUACGUGCCAGCAGCCGCGGUAAUACGUAGGUGGCAAGCGUUAUCCGGAUUUACUGGGCGUAAAGGGAGCGUAGACGGUUACGCAAGUCUGGAGUGAAAGGCGCGGGCCCAACCCGCGGACUGC